RNAcentral lists this ribosomal RNA (538 nucleotides) under Odontomachus simillimus. RNAcentral's name for it is "eukaryotic LSU rRNA". Lineage: Eukaryota; Metazoa; Arthropoda; Insecta; Hymenoptera; Formicidae. The record is from RNAcentral.
GAAAAGAACUUUGAAGAGAGANUUCNAGAGUACGUGAAACCGUUCAGGGGUAAACCUAAGAAACCCAAAAGAUCGAACGGGGAGAUUCAUCGUCAGCGACACCGGCUUCGCGUCGGUGGGCGAUGUCCCGCGGUUUCUCGCGCGGGCACGCUACCGUGCGCGCAUGACCGGCUUCGUCGUCGUGCACUUCUCCCCUAGUAGAACGUCGCGACCCGCUGGGUGUCGGUCUACGGCCCGGGUGAGGUGACUGUCGCGUCGCCGGUAAAACGGCACGCGGCAAACCCUCGGACGCCCGGCCGGCUGCCCGGCGGUACUCGCACGGUAUCAGGCCGCAGUUUGUCUGCGUCAAGCCCGUCGCAAGCGCGCGCCACGGUUACUCGGAGGUACGGACCUAGCGCCGUCCCCGGUCCUGGUCCGCUGUUGGCCGACGGUGACCCUUUGACAGGCCUUACGGGGCGACGUGGGGGGCUUUCGCCGUUCCACGUCCGCCCUAAUACCGGUCGGCGACGCUACUGCUUUGGGUACUCUUAGGACCCGU